AUGGACAUGAGGAUCCCUGCUCAGCUACUGGGGCUCCUGCUGCUCUGCCUCCCAGGAGCCAGAGGUGACAUCCAGAUGACCCAGUCUCCAGCCUCCCUCUCUGCCUCUCUAGGAGAGAGGGUAACUAUCACGUGCAGGGCCAGUCAGAGCAUUAGCAAAUGGUUUAACUGGUAUCAACAGAAACCAGGAAAGGCUCCUAAGCUCCUGAUCUAUGAUGCAACCAGUUUGUUAUCAGGUGUCCCAUCCAGGUUCAGUGGCAGUGGAUAUGGGACAGAGUUCACUCUCACCAUCAGCAGCCUGCAGCCUGAAGAUGUUGCCACUUAUUACUGUCAACAGCAUAAUGAUUAUCCUCCCACAAUGAUACAAGUCAUAACAAAACCUCCCAAGGAAGCAGAAGUGAGAGGCUGGGCUGCCCCAGCUGCUCCUCAAGGCAUCUUCAGCUGCUGA
Molecule: non-coding RNA, 447 nt
Organism: Perognathus longimembris pacificus (Pacific pocket mouse)
Lineage: Eukaryota; Metazoa; Chordata; Mammalia; Rodentia; Heteromyidae
Source: the annotation of a RefSeq genome assembly